GACGAACGCUGGCGGCGUGCUUAACACAUGCAAGUCGAACGGGAUUUAGUAAACAGAAACCUCGGUGGAAGAUUACUAAUGAGAGUGGCGAACGGGUGAGUAACGCGUGAGCAACCUGCCUAUGACAGUGGGAUAGCCUCGGGAAACCGGGAUUAAUACCGCACAAAAUCGUAGAAACACAUGUGUUAACGGUCAAAGAUUUAUCGGUCGUAGAUGAGCUCGCGUCUGAUUAGAUAGUUGGGGAGAUAACAGCCCAGCAAGGCGACGAUCAGUAGCCGGUCUGGGAGCAUGCACGCCCACAUUGGAGCUUCGACACGGCCCGAACUCCUACGGCAGGCUGCAAUGGGCACUAUUGCCCAAUGCGGGACACCCUGAUGCAGCCACGCUGCGUGCACGCAGACAGUAUUCCUCUCGUAAAGUUCUCUCGUAUGUGCAGAUACUGACCAUCCCCUAGCAGAAAGCUCCGGCUACUUACGUG
This 478-nucleotide ribosomal RNA is filed under the name uncultured bacterium. RNAcentral's name for it is "partial 16S ribosomal RNA". It matches the Rfam family "Bacterial small subunit ribosomal RNA", at positions 28 to 507 of the family's 1533-position model. The record is from RNAcentral.